UUAUUGAUUUUAUUCAUAUUUUGGGUAAGAAUACAUAGAUAUUACCUUUUGUAUCAGGGUUGGUUUAGUUAUUCAAUAAUUUAUAUUUCUCGAUAUUAACUGAGUUAAAUAAAUUAUUAUGUGUUGAAUAACUAUGUAAAUUUAUUUAGUAAUGAAAAAUUUUCGUAGUUGAAGUUAUCUAGUUGCUAAGUUAAAUAAUAGGAGGGAUAAGCUUUUUAUUAUUAUAUAUUUUAUCUCCGGUGUUAUGAAUUAGGCUUAAGAUUAGCCAUAUUAAUAAUUUGUUUUAAAGAAUUCAUGUUAGUAAGACAGUAUUAUUUUUGUGGGUUGUUUAGUUUUAUACAGUAAUUUUAUUAAAAAUGACUAAAUUAGUAUUUUUUUUUCUGUAAAAUAGAAUUCGGAAGUCGUAGAAUAGUUUAUCAAAAACAUUUUUUUACUUGUGUAAAAUAAGGCCUGCCCGGUGUAGUAUUAACGGCUGCGGUAUUUUGACUGUGCUAAGGUAGCAUAAUAAUUUGUUUUUUAAUUGAAAACUGGAAUGAAAGGUUUUAUCUGCGAGUGAUUUUAUUUUUUAGCGUAAAUAAUUUAUAUUUAUGGUAAAAAUACCAUAAUUUUAUAAAGUGACGAUAAGACCCUAUAAGCUUUAUUUAUAAAGUAAGAAGGCCAAUUAUUUAGCGUUUUUUUGUUUUAUUAAUUUUGCUGGGGCAGUAAUAUUAUGUAAUUUAAUAUGCUAAAGACAUAGAUAAAUGAGUGUAAGAUCUUUUUAUAAAGAUAAUUAGUUUAAGUUACUGUAGGGAUAACAGCGCAAUAAUUUUGGAGAGGCCUUAUUGAUAAAAUUGAUUGCGACCUCGAUGUUGAAUUAAGAUUUCUUUUUGUUGCAGAAGGCAGAGAAGAAGGUUUGUUCAACCUUUAAAUUUUUACAUGAUUUGAGUUCAAAUCGGUUUAAGCCAGAUUGGUUUCUAUCUUUUAUAUAUUAUGAUUUGUGUAAGUACGAAAGGGACACGUAAGGUUU
RNAcentral lists this ribosomal RNA (1006 nucleotides) under Pseudoniphargus grandis. RNAcentral's name for it is "16S ribosomal RNA". The stretch from base 790 to 948 matches the Rfam family "Archaeal large subunit ribosomal RNA", at positions 2544 to 2703 of the family's 2987-position model. The record is from RNAcentral. Lineage: Eukaryota; Metazoa; Arthropoda; Malacostraca; Amphipoda; Allocrangonyctidae.